RNAcentral lists this ribosomal RNA (521 nucleotides) under uncultured bacterium. RNAcentral's name for it is "bacterial SSU rRNA". It matches the Rfam family "Bacterial small subunit ribosomal RNA", at positions 777 to 1295 of the family's 1533-position model. The record is from RNAcentral.
AAUAGAUACCCCGGUAGUCCACGCCGUAAACGAUGGAUGCUAGCCGUUGGACAGCUUGCUGUUCAGUGGCGCAGCUAACGCAUUAAGCAUCCCGCCUGGGGAGUACGGUCGCAAGAUUAAAAACUCAAAGGAAUUGACGGGGGCCCGCACAAGCGGUGGAGCAUGUGGUUCAAUUCGAAGCAACGCGCAGAACCUUACCAACCCUUGACAUGUCCAGUAUGGGUACCAGAGAUGGAACCCUUCAGUUCGGCUGGCUGGAACACAGGUGCUGCAUGGCUGUCGUCAGCUCGUGUCGUGAGAUGUUGGGUUAAGUCCCGCAACGAGCGCAACCCUCGCCCUUAGUUGCCAUCAUUUAGUUGGGCACUCUAGGGGGACUGCCGGUGAUAAGCCGCGAGGAAGGUGGGGAUGACGUCAAGUCCUCAUGGCCCUUACGGGUUGGGCUACACACGUGCUACAAUGGCGGUGACAGUGGGAUGCAAGGGCGCAAGCCUACGCAAAUCUCAAAAAGCCGUCUCAGGUUC